UUGUAAUUCAACGGCUCAAACACAGGUGUAUGUGGCAGGUGUAACUGAUGUGAAAUGGCUAGCUAGUUAGCGGUGGUGCGCGCUAAUAGCGUUUCAACCGGUGACGUCACUCGCUCUGUGACCUUAAGUAGUUGUUCCCCUUGCGCUGCAAGGGCCGCGGCUUUUGUGGCAUGAUGGGUAACGAUGCUUCGUGGGGUGUCAGUUGUUGAUGUGCGCAGAGGGUCCCUGGUUCGAGCCCAGGUUGGGGCGAGGAGAGGGACGGAAGCUAUACUGUUACAUUGAUCCUGUUGACCCGGAUCACUGGUUGCUGCGGAAAAAGGAGGAGGUCAAAAGGGGGAUGAGUAUAACCAAUGUGAAAUGGCUAGCUAGUUAGCGGUGGUGCGCGCUAAUAGCGUUUCAAUCGGUGACGUCACUCGCUCUGCGACCUUAAGUAGUUGUUCCCCUUGCGCUGCAAGGGCCGUGGCUUUUGUGGCACGAUGGGUAACGAUGCUUCGUGGGUGUCAGUUGUUGAUGUGCGAAGAGGGUCCCUGGUUCGAGCCCAGGUUGGGGCGAGGAGAGGGACAGAAGCUAUACUGUUACACAGGGUCUACAGUCAGUCACGGAUUACAAAAGAAAACCAGCCUCGUUGCGGAAAUCGACGUCUUACUCCCAGACAAAUUAAACAAUUUCUUUGCCCACUUUUAGAACAAUACAGUGCCACUGACACGGCCCGCUGCCAAAGCCUAUGGGCUCUCCUUCUCCGUGGCCAACGUGAGUAAGACAUUUAAAUCUGUUUACCGAUGCUUGGCUGCUGGCCCAGACGGCAUCCCUAGCCGCGUCCUCAGAGCAUGCACAGACCAGCUGGCUGGUGUGUUGAUGGACAUAUUCAACCAAUCCCUAUCCCAGUCUGUUGUCCCCAGAUGCUUCAAGGUGGCCACCAUUGUUCCAGUUCCCAAGAAAGCUAAGGUCCACUGACGAUGCAAUCGCCAUCACACUGCACACUUCCCUAUCCCAUCUGGACAAGAGGAAUACCAGACCCUGGGUCUCGACCACGCCCUGUGCAACUGGGUCCUGGAAUUUCUGACGGGCCGCCCCCAGGUGGUGAAGAUAGGAAACAACUUCUCCACCACGCUGAUCCUCAACACUGGGGCCCCACAAGGGUGCGUUCUCAGCCCUCUCCUGUACUCCCUGUUCACUCAUGACUGCGUGGCCAUACACGCCUCCAACUCAAUCAUCAAGUUUGCAGACGACACUACAGUGGUAGGCCUGAUUACCAACAACGACGAGACGGUUUACAGGGAGGAGGUGAGGGCCCUCGGAGUGUGGUGUGAGGAAAAUAACCUCUCACUCAACAUCAAUAAAACAAAGGAGAUGACCGUGGACUACAGGAAACAGCAGAGGGAGCACCCCCCCAUCCACAUCGACGGAACAGUACUGGAGAAGGUGGAAAGUUUUAAGUUCCUCGGUGUACACAUCACGGACAAACUGAAAUGGUCCACCCACACAGACAGCGUGGUGAAGAAGGCGCAACAGCGCCUCUUCAACCUCAGGAGGCUGAAUAAAUUUGGCUUGUCACCUAAAACACUCACAAACUUUUACAGAUGCACAAUCGAGAGCAUCCUGUCGGGCUUUAUCACUGCCUGGUACGGUAAUUGCACUGCCCCCAACCACAAGGCUCCCCAGAGGGUGGUGCGGUCUUGCACAACGCAUCACCGGGGGCAAACUAUCAGCACUCCAGGACACCUACAGCACCCGAUGUCACAGGAAGGCCAAAAAGAUGAUAAAGGACAACAACCACCCGAGCCACUGCCUGUUCACCCCGCUAUCAUCCAGAAGGCGAGGUCAGUACAGGUGCAUCAAAGCUGGGACCGAUAGACUUAAAAAUAGCUUCUAUCUCAAGGCCAUCAGACUCUCAAACAGCCAUCAGUAACAUAGAGAGGCUGCUGCCUUCAUACAGACUCAAAUGUCUGACCACUUAAAUAAAUUGACUUAAUAAAGGUAUCACUAGUCACUUUAAAUAAUGCCACUUUAAUAAUGUUUACAUUUCCUACAUUACUCAUCUCAUAUGUAUAUACUAUAUUCUAUACCAUCUACUGCAUCUUGCCUAUGCCGCAAGCCAUCGC
This 2102-nucleotide long non-coding RNA is filed under the name Salmo salar (Atlantic salmon). RNAcentral describes it as "lncRNA (ENSSSAG00000097486.1)". The record is from RNAcentral. Lineage: Eukaryota; Metazoa; Chordata; Actinopteri; Salmoniformes; Salmonidae.